CCUACGUGAGGCAGCAGUGAGGAAUAUUGGUCAAUGGACGAGAGUCUGAACCAGCCAAGUAGCGUGAAGGAUGACUGCCCUAUGGGUUGUAAACUUCUUUUAUCAAGGAAUAAAACGCGGCACGUGUGCCUUUUUGCAUGUACUUUAUGAAUAAGGAUCGGCUAACUCCGUGCCAGCAGCCGCGGUAAUACGGAGGAUCCGAGCGUUAUCCGGAUUUAUUGGGUUUAAAGGGAGCGUAGAGGGGAUGUGAAGUCAGCGGUAAAAUUUCGGGGCUCAACCCCGUCGUGCCGUUGAAACUGGCGUUCUUGAGUGAGCGAGAAGUAUGCGGAAUGCGUGGUGUAGCGGUGAAAUGCAUAGAUAUCACGCAGAACUCCGAUUGCGAAGGCAGCAUACCGGCGCUCAACUGACGCUCAUGCACGAAAGCGUGGGUAUCGAACAGGAUUAGAUACCCGAGUAGUC
Molecule: ribosomal RNA, 459 nt
Filed under: uncultured bacterium
Lineage: Bacteria
Description: partial 16S ribosomal RNA
Rfam family: Bacterial small subunit ribosomal RNA
Source: RNAcentral